UGGGGAAUAUUGGACAAUGGACCGAGAGUCUGAUCCAGCAAUUCUGUGUGCACGAUGAAGUUUUUCGGAAUGUAAAGUGCUUUCAGUUGGGAAGAAAGAAAUGACGGUACCAACAGAAGAAGUGACGGCUAAAUACGUGCCAGCAGCCGCGGUAAUACGUAUGUCACGAGCGUUAUCCGGAUUUAUUGGGCGUAAAGUGCGUCUAGGUGGUUAUGUAAGUCUGGUGUGAAAAUGCAGGGCUCAACUCUGUAUUGCGUUGGAAACUGUGUAACUAGAGUACUGGAGAGGUAAGCGGAACUACAAGUGUAGAGGUGAAAUUCGUAGAUAUUUGUAGGAAUGCCGAUGGGGAAGCCAGCUUACUGGACAGAUACUGACGCUAAAGCGCGAAAGCGUGGGUAGCAAACAGG
This 407-nucleotide ribosomal RNA is filed under the name uncultured Fusobacterium sp. RNAcentral describes it as "bacterial SSU rRNA". It matches the Rfam family "Bacterial small subunit ribosomal RNA", at positions 355 to 776 of the family's 1533-position model. The record is from RNAcentral. Lineage: Bacteria; Fusobacteriati; Fusobacteriota; Fusobacteriia; Fusobacteriales; Fusobacteriaceae.